This 362-nucleotide ribosomal RNA is filed under the name uncultured bacterium. Its description in RNAcentral is "bacterial SSU rRNA". It matches the Rfam family "Bacterial small subunit ribosomal RNA", at positions 29 to 412 of the family's 1533-position model. The record is from RNAcentral.
AACGAACGCUGGCGGCAUGCCUAACACAUGCAAGUCGAACGGGAUCCUAGCUUGCUAGGUGAGAGUGGCGGACGGGUGAGUAACACGUGGGAAUCUGCCUUUUGGUUCGGGAUAACCGCGGGAAACUGCGGCUAAUACCGAAUGCCCUCGAGAGAGGAAAGAUUUAUCGCCAGAAGAGGAGCCCGCGUCCGAUUAGGUAGUUGGUGGGGUAAAGGCCUACCAAGCCGACGAUCGGUAGCUGGUCUGAGAGGAUGAUCAGCCACACUGGACUGAGAUACGGCCCAGACUCCUACGGGAGCAGCAGUGGGGAAUAUUGGACAAUGGGGGCAACCCUGAUCCAGCAAUGCCGCGUGAGUGAUGAA